RNAcentral lists this ribosomal RNA (422 nucleotides) under uncultured archaeon. RNAcentral's name for it is "bacterial SSU rRNA". It matches the Rfam family "Archaeal small subunit ribosomal RNA", at positions 452 to 875 of the family's 1478-position model. The record is from RNAcentral.
CUGGUGUCAGCGCCCGCGGUAACACCAGCCCCUCGAGUGGUGGGGAUGAUUAUUUGGCCUAAAGCGUCGUAGCCGGCCGGGUAAGUUUCCCGUUAAAUCCAGCGUCUCAAGCGUUGGACUGCGGGAAAUACUGCCUGGCUAGAGAGUGGGAGAGGUCAGCGGUAUUCUGGGGGUAGGGGCGAAAUCCUUUGAUCCCCGGAGGACCACCAGUGGCGAAGGCUGCUGACUAGAACACGUCUGACGGUCAGGGACGAAAGCUGGGGUAGCGAACCGGAUUAGAUACCCGGGUAGUCCCAGCCGUAAACGAUGCAUGCUAGGUGUUUGGUUGGCCACGAGCCACCCCAGUGCCGCAGGGAAGCCGUUAAGCAUGCCGCCUGGGAAGUACGAUCGCAAGGUUGAAACUUAAAGGAAUUGGCGGGGGA